GGGCGUGUAGUUCAGUGGUAGAACGUUCGCUUGGCAUGCGAAAGGCCGCGAGUUCAAUUCUCGCCACGUCCA
RNAcentral lists this transfer RNA (72 nucleotides) under Candidatus Sigynarchaeota archaeon. Its description in RNAcentral is "tRNA-Ala". It matches the Rfam family "tRNA". Rfam says of the family: Transfer RNA (tRNA) molecules are approximately 80 nucleotides in length. The record is from RNAcentral. Lineage: Archaea; Promethearchaeati; Candidatus Sigynarchaeota. RNAcentral also lists the same sequence under 1 other name.